This 21-nucleotide non-coding RNA is filed under the name Caenorhabditis elegans. Lineage: Eukaryota; Metazoa; Nematoda; Chromadorea; Rhabditida; Rhabditidae. The record is from RNAcentral.
UUUUGUAUUCGUAUUCAUUGU